This 253-nucleotide ribosomal RNA is filed under the name uncultured bacterium. RNAcentral's name for it is "partial 16S ribosomal RNA". It matches the Rfam family "Bacterial small subunit ribosomal RNA", at positions 524 to 776 of the family's 1533-position model. The record is from RNAcentral.
UACAUGUGGGGCAAGCGUUGUUCGGAAUUACUGGGCCUAAAGGGUGCGUAGGCGGCUUGUUAAGUCAGGGGUGAAAGUUUUCGGCCCAACCGGAAAAUUGCCUUUGAUACUGGCGAGCUCGAGUGCGUGAGGGGUAACCGGAACGAGUGGUGUAGCGGUGAAAUGCGUAGAUAUCACUCGGAAGGCCAAAGGCGAAGGCAGGUUACUGGUACGCAACUGACGCUGAGGCACGAAAGCGUGGGGAGCAAACAGG